This is a long non-coding RNA of Anneissia japonica, 181 nucleotides long. RefSeq lists it as uncharacterized. The record is from RefSeq and is a predicted model, not a curated record. The transcript is spliced from 2 exons. NCBI's taxonomy places the organism in Eukaryota, Metazoa, Echinodermata, Crinoidea, Comatulida, Comatulidae.
AUUAUACCAGGCUUAUGUAAAACAUGAAUGCAAUCUCAUUUUUAGAGCUAAAGACCUGGAUCUUGGACGAUUGGCAAACGGUUUUGGUCUUCUGCAGAUGCCCAGGAUGCCUGAAACCAAAGGCAAAACAUUCCCAGAAUUCCAACCAUCUAUUGUCAAUAUUCAGAACAUCCCAUACAGG